Molecule: ribosomal RNA, 377 nt
Filed under: uncultured eukaryote
Lineage: Eukaryota
Description: partial 18S ribosomal RNA
Rfam family: Eukaryotic small subunit ribosomal RNA
Source: RNAcentral
CAAUAGCGUAUAUUAAAGUUGUUGCAGUUAAAAAGCUCGUAGUUGGAUUUCGGGGCAGCCUGGCUGGUCCGCCGCAAGGCGAGUACUGGUCAGCCGCCCUUCCUCUCGAAAGACCCGACUGCUCUUCGUUGCAGUGGUCGGGUAGUUCGGGACGUUUACUUUGAAAAAAUUAGAGUGUUCAAGGCAGGCCUACGCCUGAAUACAUUAGCAUGGAAUAAUGGAAGAGGACCUCGGUCCUAUUUUGUUGGUUUCCAGGGCCGAAGUAAUGAUUAAGAGGGACAGUUGGGGGCAUUCGUAUUUAAUUGUCAGAGGUGAAAUUCUCGGAUUUAUGAAAGACGAACAACUGCGAAAGCAUUUGCCAAGGAUGUUUUCAUUAA